CCACAGCAAUCCAAGUCCUUCAGGUAGCACUCUCACAAAACCCGCAAACCCACAAAAAAAUUAUCUUCAUAUUUUUUGAUUCUUUGAUCAAUUGCAAUUUUUUUCAGGGAUUUGUAUAACAACAUGGAGGGUCAGAAUUCACAGCAAGUCAACUACUUCAGCAAUCCUAAUCUCCCUGAUCAUCACCCCCCUUACAUCCCUCCUUGUAUUUAAUCUAAUUUUUCAGUGAUUGCGUUGUGUUCGUAAUUAUUAACGAAUUUAAUCACUAUUUCCUGAUUUGUAUUUGAUUUUCUGUUCUGGGUUUCAGUUCAAGUAGCAAAAUUGGCUCCUGACGGGGUUCAAGAAGAAAAUGGGAUGGAUUUACGGUGGAAUUUUGGGCUAGAGACCAAGAAAAUCCUUCCCAAAGAAAAGGAUUUUCUGGAGACUAAUACAAACAAUGCUAGCAAUAACAAUAAUAAUUCCCAGAUUUCUGUUGAUUUUUUGCAGGCCCGGUCAGUGUCAACUGGGCUAGGGUUGUCACUGGAAAAUCCCCG
This 533-nucleotide long non-coding RNA is filed under the name Olea europaea subsp. europaea. The record is from RNAcentral. Lineage: Eukaryota; Viridiplantae; Streptophyta; Magnoliopsida; Lamiales; Oleaceae.